UGGCCUGAAACCAAUGAUCAUACGCAAUGAUUAUAUCAGUGCAGUACUGAGAAUAUAAAUUAUUAGUUCAGGUUAUUUUCAGAUGUGUUGUUAAACUUUAAUCCGACGACGACUUCUUUUGUAUUCUUUAUAUGCUUCGUCCAGUACAGCGCCAUUUGGAAACUUUAAGUAUUCAACUGAAAUGUCGAUAUGCAGAGAUUCUUGAAAUUCAUAUCUGGCUGAGAUUGCGUGCUUUCUUAAACGAAUCAAAAGUAUUUCAACUCCUUAAACAUAAACAAAGUGGAAGUUUAACAUUACGCGAUAGCCGCCACUUUCUCUAAGUCAAAUAGGUAGUACAUCCAACAAGUCUCGGAACACUCCUUGCAGCACAACUUUUUUAUCAUUAGCAGACUAAGUGUUUUAUCACGAAGCUCCGAUGUAUCACAGUUUCUAUAAGAUAUUCACUGACCGAGUUCUGAACAACAAGCCCCAAUUAGUUUGCAAAAGGACUUUGUUUGUCAAAUAUCUGGAAUAGAAAAUCCAGUUGUUGUCGUAAACACGAUGGCAUCAAUGGAAUAAGUUAUUUGUUGUUGUUUUUUUUCAUUUUACGUCAGGGGAGUACUUUCUUUACCCUAUGAGUAUUGUUGGCCUCACGCUGUCCGAGCACUUGCUAAAUCCGAACUCUGAACAUGCCUAAGGGUUACAAGGUAUAUGAACUCUGAAAAAGAAUUCGGGCGAAGUAUUUGAAAAUUUAAAGUAUCGUGACUGGCGAUGCCGCAGAGACACCUGGGAAAUUUGAGCCCACGUUGAACAGCAAUGCGGCUAUUCAUUCAAAGAUAAAUUUGAGCGGCCAUUUUGAAGUGUCAUGAGAGGAUUUCCUCGAUCUUUUGGAAUGGAGAUUCGAUAGAUGAAGAUAAAUACUUGCACUCCACUGGCUACUUUACUUACGAGAGAAGCCCAGACGGUUACUGAUACUGUUCAAGGUUAGAUACAGUGAAGUAGAAAAUGAGAUGGUAACGAAUGACGUCAUUGAAUCAACAGCUCUCGUCCUUAAAUGGUCAUCCUUUUAGGAUCACUGCCUCGUAAGCGAUGCCCAAGCUCGUCUCAUUGUAGUACAAGUAAGUAUUAAACAAUUUCUUCUUUGGUAUGUAGUUACUUACGUGUUACAACUGUACCUGUUGCAUGUAAGGGUAAGACUACCUCUCUACCUGCUUUGUACGUAAAACGUUGAAGACAUUUUGUAGAAAUGAUGGUGAAAUUGCGACAUAAAAAGUUGCGGGCAGGAUAGCCUCAUGUUACCCGCUUGGGCUGUCAAUCAGAUCACGAGAUUCGCCCACUCUUGGGGCCAGCCAUAUGGUAGAAAUCUUUAUAUUGCUGCGAUGCUACAGCAUUAAUUACUCUGGCCCAGUGGAAGAGUUGAGCGCGGAUGUUUUUGUUCUCAUGGAUGGAAAGGGGUAUUGUAAGAGGAUAGUGUCUUGCUCAUACCUCAGCCCAAUUAGCCGCCUACGUCUGGAUCCCAACUUGCACUCGAACCCAGGCUCCAGCGCUCUGGUAUCCAUUAGACCACCGGUGCUUAUCUUACUGAACCCUUUGACCCCGAGUGAUUGGCAUUUGAUUUCUCCUUUCAUCAUCACCUUUGAAUCAAAUAAAAAGGUCAUGAGAAUAUAGGAAAUAGUCAGCAAUUUAAGAAGCUCCUGAUUGUUAAACAAAUUCUCCUUGUCAGUACAAAAGGAAAUGUAAAGAGAACGAUCAGGUGGAGAUGGAUAAGGCUGGUUAAGAUUGAAACG
RNAcentral lists this long non-coding RNA (1766 nucleotides) under Pocillopora damicornis (cauliflower coral). Its description in RNAcentral is "uncharacterized LOC113676401". Lineage: Eukaryota; Metazoa; Cnidaria; Anthozoa; Scleractinia; Pocilloporidae. The record is from RNAcentral.